RNAcentral lists this ribosomal RNA (261 nucleotides) under uncultured prokaryote. RNAcentral's name for it is "partial 16S ribosomal RNA". It matches the Rfam family "Bacterial small subunit ribosomal RNA", at positions 524 to 784 of the family's 1533-position model. The record is from RNAcentral.
CACGUAGGGGGCGAGCGUUGUCCGGAAUUACUGGGCGUAAAGGGCGCGCAGGCUGUUAUGCGAGUCUGCUGUGAAAUGUACCGGCUCAACCGGUGCCUUGCGGCGGAUACUGCAUAGCUGGAGUACUGGAGAGGGAAGUGGAAUUCCCGGUGUAGCGGUGAAAUGCGUAGAUAUCGUGAGGAACACCGGUGGCGAAGGCGGCUUUCUGGCCAGUUACUGACGCUCAUGCGCGAAAGCUGGGGUAGCGAACCGGAUUAGAUA